AUUGAACGCUGGCGGCAUGCCUUACACAUGCAAGUCGAACGGCAGCACGGGAGCAAUCCUGGUGGCGAGUGGCGAACGGGUGAGUAAAGUAUCGGAACGUGCCCAGUCGUGGGGGAUAACGUAGCGAAAGUUACGCUAAUACCGCAUACGAUCUAUGGAUGAAAGCGGGGGAUCGCAAGACCUCGCGCGAUUGGAGCGGCCGAUAUCAGAUUAGGUAGUUGGUGGGGUAAAGGCUCACCAAGCCGACGAUCUGUAGCUAGUCUGAGAGGACGACCAGCCACACUGGAACUGAGACACGGUCCAGACUCCUACGGGAGGCAGCAGUGGGGAAUUUUGGACAAUGGGAGCAAGCCUGAUUCAGCAAUGCCGCGUGCAGGAUGAAGGCCUUCGGGUUGUAAACUGCUUUUGUACGGAACGAAACGGUGAGCUCUAAUACAGUUUGCUAAUGACGGUACCGUAAGAAUAAGCACCGGCUAACUACGUGCCAGCAGCCGCAGUAA
This 500-nucleotide ribosomal RNA is filed under the name uncultured bacterium. RNAcentral's name for it is "partial 16S ribosomal RNA". It matches the Rfam family "Bacterial small subunit ribosomal RNA", at positions 30 to 523 of the family's 1533-position model. The record is from RNAcentral.